RNAcentral lists this ribosomal RNA (411 nucleotides) under Triticum aestivum (bread wheat). RNAcentral's name for it is "partial small subunit ribosomal RNA". The record is from RNAcentral. Lineage: Eukaryota; Viridiplantae; Streptophyta; Magnoliopsida; Poales; Poaceae.
AUGGUCCUACGUGACCACAACGGCGCCAUAAUAUUUGCUUCCUGCAGGUUGCUGACUAGCUGCGCGAGCGCUCUUGAGGCGGAGGUCGCCGCAUGCAUGGAAGGGGUGGCCUUAACACUUGAAUGGAGCUCCCUGCCUUUCUCUCUGGAAACGGACAGCUUAGUCGCUGCUAAUAUGAUCAAAGAAACUGAACAAAACAGGUCUCCAGUUGCUGCCAUCGUUGGAGAGAUCAAGUGGCUCCUUGCACUUGGUCGUCAACAUGUGGUAACGCAUGCUUGUAGGAGUAAAAAUAAAGUUGCUCAUGCUUUAGCCCAAAUGGGGCGUUCUGAACCACGUACUGCAGUUUGGAUACGCCAUGGACCUGAUGCAAUUGGCGCACUGUGCCAACAGGAUUGUAAUGAUCUCCUUUGA